AUGAGCUGCAUCAGCUGGAACUGCUGGGGGCUUGGGAACCCCGGGGCAGUUCGCGAGCUUCGCAACCUUGUGAAGCAAGAAGGGCCCAUUCUCCUCUUCGUCAUGGAGACAAAGAUCCAAGGGAGAAAAGUGGAGGACCUGCAAAACACGUUGGGCUUUGUAGGUAGCUUUGGAGUGGACAACAAUGGACUGAGUGGUGGCAUCGGUUUGUUCUGGUCAAGUGAGGUUUCAGUUAGUCUGAAAAACUACAGUAGUAGUCAUAUUGAUGUAAUGGUGCAAAAGAGAGAUACAUCAGCACAGGAAUGUCGCUUUACUGGUUUUUAUGGAGAGCCCAAGGUGGAAGAUAGACAUCACAGUUGGCGCUUUGCUACCUCUUGA
RNAcentral lists this ribosomal RNA (378 nucleotides) under Triticum aestivum (bread wheat). Its description in RNAcentral is "partial small subunit ribosomal RNA". The record is from RNAcentral. Lineage: Eukaryota; Viridiplantae; Streptophyta; Magnoliopsida; Poales; Poaceae.